CCUACGGGGGGCUGCAGUGGGGAAUAUUGGACAAUGGGGGGAACCCUGAUCCAGCCAUGCCGCGUGUGUGAAGAAGGCCCUCGGGUUGUAAAGCACUUUCAGUGAGGAAGAACGCCUGGUGGUUAAUACCCAUCAGGAAAGACAUCACUCACAGAAGAAGCACCGGCUAACUCCGUGCCAGCAGCCGCGGUAAUACGGAGGGUGCGAGCGUUAAUCGGAAUUACUGGGCGUAAAGCGCGCGUAGGUGGCUUGAUAAGCCGGUUGUGAAAGCCCCGGGCUCAACCUGGGAACGGCAUUCGGAACUGUCAAGCUAGAGUGUAGGAGAGGAAGGUAGAAUUCCCGGUGUAGCGGUGAAAUGCGUAGAGAUCGGGAGGAAUACCAGUGGCGAAGGCGGCCUUCUGGACUGACACUGACACUGAGGUGCGAAAGCGUGGGUAGCAAACAGGAUUAGAUACCCCGGUAGUC
This 465-nucleotide ribosomal RNA is filed under the name Vreelandella stevensii. RNAcentral describes it as "partial 16S ribosomal RNA". It matches the Rfam family "Bacterial small subunit ribosomal RNA", at positions 338 to 795 of the family's 1533-position model. Lineage: Bacteria; Pseudomonadati; Pseudomonadota; Gammaproteobacteria; Oceanospirillales; Halomonadaceae. The record is from RNAcentral.